CGGUGAGGGGAGAAAUGGGAGCGAUCUGGAAGGGGUCUGCAAAACCCGGGUUGGAUUAGACAGAGAUGGGAGGAACGAAGGCAGCUGCGACAGGGCCAAAUGCACCCCGGGCACGCAAAUUUCGGGCCGGAUUCUUCCUCGGGAGACGGAGUAAUGCGUCAUGCCUAAUGCAGUGGGAAUAAGCAAGACCUGGCCUAGAGCUCCCAGACCUGGGCUCGCAGGGGUCUCCGGGAAGGGGCUAUUUAGUGGCUGAGGCGGCGUGGGCUGCCCUCGUCUUCCUGGCAGCGACGUGCAAGAAGGAGGGGCAAAAGGAGGGCUGGACUCGGGCACGAAAGGAUCUGGAGCGCUGGCUGCACCGAAGCAGGCAGUGCGGACGCUGCACCUUCCUCACUCCCAAGAAACAAGAGUCCAGGAAGCCACCCAGGUCCAGUCUGAGCAACAGCUGGCAGGCAGCAAUGGUGGUCCAUUCCCGGUAAGGCACCAACUGGGAGGGGAGGCCAGUUGGGUUGCACUUCCCACCCCGACCGCUAGGGGCCGCUGCCCCGCUGCUCUGCGGCCGCCAGGUGAGGAGGAGGCCCCGCCUCUUCCCCAGCAGGUGCUCUGGUUGGUCGAGAGGGCAGGGGACUGGAGUAAAGAGAGCAGGGCUGGGGGAGGAGUUGGGGGAACGAAAUGGGGGUGAAGGGAGAGAGCUGAGCGAGUCCCACGUAGAGGAUGCUGAAAGAGGUGAGGUUGGAGGAGGCAGGUGAGGAGCCAGAGAUGGUUGACUGAGUGCUUGCGAGAAAGCAGGGGAGAGGAGGGGGAGUUGAGGUGUCUGGAGGAGAGAGGAGUUGGGGAGGGGGGGAAACUGAGGGUAUAGAGCAAAGUUAAGGGAAGGAAGACGGGUGAGCAGGUGAGGAGUCAGGGAUGGCCCUGGAGGUGAGGUGGACGUGACUGGGGGACAUUUGGACAGUGCGUGGGGACUGCUGGGAUGGUUGAGGGCUGGGCCUGGUCUGUGGGAAAUGAGGGACCCCAGAGAAGGCACCUGGCACUUUGCCAGUCGUGGCUGGUACGGACAGUGGGGGCGGGGGGGAGGAUAGUUUCUCAGAU
RNAcentral lists this long non-coding RNA (1086 nucleotides) under Bos indicus x Bos taurus (hybrid cattle). RNAcentral's name for it is "lncRNA (ENSBIXG00000027244.1)". The record is from RNAcentral. Lineage: Eukaryota; Metazoa; Chordata; Mammalia; Artiodactyla; Bovidae.